AAAUUUUUAAAAUAUAUUUCCAUAUCUUGAAAGUUGUAUUGACCCAUCAUUGUCUCUCUCUCUCUGUAUAUAUAUAUACACACACACACACACGCACAUAUAUACACGUAUAUAUACAUACAUAUACAUACACAAAUAUAUACAUAUAUAUACACACAUACAUAUAUAUGUUUUUUAAGAUAUAUAAAUAUAUCUUUAUAUAUAUUUAGUGCUUCAGUGGAAGAACAGAAGCCCCCUAAAAAAAGGCAUCAUUUCACAUCUUUGACUACUAAAUUCUGUUUUGUUUCUUAUCAGAAGAAGAGCAAUCUUGUCAGAUUACUUAAAAGAAAAGUUCGAGCUUGCAGUGAGCUAUGAUCUCACCAUUGAACUUCAGCCUGGAAAACAGAGCAAGACCCUGUCUCUAAAUAAAUAAAUAAAUAAUUAAUAAAGCAUAUGGGUCACUCACCAUGAUCUUCUUCUUAACCCCCACCCAAAGCCCUUCAGGCUGAAUAUGGUGUGAGGUUGCUUUGGGAACCCUGGAGCUACUGACAAACUUCCUCAUAGCCAUGGGCACACUCAGUAUUUUCAGUCAACCUCCAUUCCCAUUGGUCUGUGCUUGUAUAUCACUUUCGCCAAGAAAUAUUAGGAAUAAUCUGGACUCCUUGGGAAAUCCACACAUGGGCUAGACAGAGGGGUUUCAGAGAACUAGAACAGCUUCACCGAAGCAGUACUCAGGAAUCCCACUGCCCUCUUUGUGUCAUGUCAGGGAUCCCAAAUGGUGGCAGAGGCGCUGGGAGAGGUGGACUAGAAGGACCUGGGCCAGAAUAAAGAUACUGUGUUGGAAAGGACUUUGAGACCCAUGGAAAAGGGACAAGUUCAUUGGCUUCGGUAGAGACUGCCUGUUUUUCAUGGCACACUUGCCAACCCCUGACAUACCUCAUAGUCAACCAGCCCAGUAAAGAGAGUAAGAGAAGAUCUUGAGUUUAAAAGGUCACAGAAGAUACAGGGGAUACCACAGGGCAUAGAAGAUAAGAGAAGGAAACUACUGCUAUGAGGUCACUAAAGCCACACCUUUCUCCUAUACCCAGAUGCAAUUUGAAAGGGAGAAUAAACAGAGAAGAACUUUGAAUAAUCAAACACUGACCCAACUGCACCCAGCAGAGGUUGGUUAGUUAAAGAAAUGUCUUAAAUUAUUGCCUCAGAUUAGCACUAAAUUACUGGCAUGAGCUAAAAUUUAGUCGCUUCUGCCACCAGCUCCCCAUUAGUCAGGAGUUCAUGAGAAAGAACAGAUAAAUUAUAGAGAAAUAAAGCAGCUAUCUGUUCCUUGUGCACUGAGCAUCAUACAAAUGAUGUGUAGCCCAACUGCCCAAGUUUUUUCCUCACUAAUAUUUUAUACAGAAGUUUGCAGCUUCAACUAGUGCUUCCUGAACAAAAAAUAUAACAUCUUAGGCUCCCAUUUGUCUCUGAUCUGAGAAAUUAUUUAAUCAUGCAUGUAUAUAAGAUAAAUUAAUAAAGAAAUACCCUAACAUAGGUAAAUGAUACUUUUCUGAGGGACAGAGAUUGUAUUCAGAGUUUCCUAGUACCUUUUCACCAAAUACACACACACACACACAUACACACGUGCAGUAUCCAGAAAAGUUUUUGGUACAUAGUAGGCAUUUCAUUGCUAUUUGAUCAAUUGUGUUGGGUGACUACACAUUGGCCUACAACGAACAUUUAUGCAUAUUGGGCAAAAGCUUUUAGAGACUUGCUUGGCAAUGAAGGCGUAUGAACACUGUAGUUCUCUGAGUUUUUGGGAAUUACUUAGAUGUCCUAAGUCUGGUAAGAAAUUUUCAGGGAUAUGAUUAGAAACAAGAUCUUGAUAUUUUGUUCUUACACAAACAAGAGUGAUUCAAUAGCCCUUGGCAUAAAUAUCUAGGUUUUAUUAUGGGACACUUUCUUUUGGUUCAUUCUUUUGAAAGACUGGUUUAAAAUAAUGCUCAAUGUCUGCCUCUGUCUUUGCUGGUGAUAAUUACCUUAUAUUCUUUUAGCAUGUGGGUUAUAAUUUACAAAACUCCUUUCUACUAUAGAAUAAAAUGAUUGGACUUGGUAUCUGUUCCCCAAUCCAAGCCUCAGUGACAAUUUCUAAGCUACAUAAAUAUUUACCAGGACUCUAGAAGCAUAAAGAAAAGAUAGAGCAAAGGAGAAAUGAGCUAGAGAACUCUAGAGCCAAAGGCAGAAGAGUUGACAAUGAAAGAUAAAAGUUAAAAUGUAUGAAGAUUUGAUUGUGUUAGAAGAUGUGCCAAACACUAUUAUUUAUGUAUAGGGCAAUCAACAGGUUUUCAAAAACGCAGGCUCAUCAUUGGAAAAUAGGUGCCAAGUAUUAUUUCCUAGAUUGCAUCUUUUGGCAAACAGGAGAGUGAGUCACUGAUGGAUGGCAGCAUUCAUAUGGCCUUCCCAGGCUUGGAGGGUUCUGGGGCCCUGGGCUGCAAAAGGCAAAGAAUGUACUGGAGGUGAGUGUGCCAGUUUAAUGGGACAAAAGCAAAGCAUUAAACAUUCCAAGGCAAAGAAAGGAGAAAACAAUGACCAGUUCUAAGACUAUAAGAAAGACUCUUGCUAUCUUCAUGUCUUCAUGUUGUUUCCAUGUUUGUUCUUUUUUUUGGGGGCGGGGGGGCUUUCCUCCUAAUUAUGAAUCCUUUACAAUUAAAAGGUGCAGUGGAUCUGGUUUUAGUGGCAAUAUAAGAUGGGAGAAAACUGGUUAGUUUGUGCCUCACUCCAUAGAAGAUGUGGCUUGAGUAAAACCCUAGGGAUAAAGUGGCAGUAGUUACUAGCAAAAGAUAAGUACAUGACAAGGUCCUUCAUCCCAGGGUCUAAGAGAACAAAAGUGAAGUCUAAGAGGGUUUGAGAAACAGCUUUGGCCUCAAGCAAUAAAAGGUCCCACAAGUACAAUAUCCUGAAAGGCUAAUUUCCAGUUCAGCAUCUAAAAAAUGAUAAUCCCUAAAUUCUCUUUUAGCUGUAUCUUUAACACUAUGUAAAAUGUCUUUUUCUUGUCUGAGAAUUUGUAAUCCCAUUGUUCUUUCAGUGGAGUCAAACUCAUAGGUAAAUGUUAAGCUACAGGGCCCAUGUCUGAGUGAUUCAUUUCUGAAUUCUCAGAGUUUAGCAAGUACCAGAGGCAUUGUGAAUAAAUAAGAAUAAAUGAUUGAAUAUCGAAUGAUAACUAUUGUCAGGCCUCUGAGCCCAAGCGAAGCUGUCAUAUCCCCUGUGACCUGCACGUACACAUCCAGAUGGCCUUAACUGAUGACAUUCCACCACAAAAGAAGU
Molecule: long non-coding RNA, 3279 nt
Filed under: Homo sapiens (human)
Lineage: Eukaryota; Metazoa; Chordata; Mammalia; Primates; Hominidae
Description: HSALNT0250544
Source: RNAcentral